This 253-nucleotide ribosomal RNA is filed under the name uncultured bacterium. RNAcentral's name for it is "partial 16S ribosomal RNA". It matches the Rfam family "Bacterial small subunit ribosomal RNA", at positions 524 to 776 of the family's 1533-position model. The record is from RNAcentral.
UACAGAGGGGGCAAGCGUUGUUCGGAAUUACUGGGCGUAAAGGGCGCGUAGGCGGCCAACUAAGUCCGACGUGAAAUCCCCAGGCUUAACCUGGGAACUGCGUCGGAUACUGGAUGGCUUGAAUUCGGGAGAGGGAUGCAGAAUUCCAGGUGUAGCGGUGAAAUGCGCAGAUACCAGGAGGAACACCUACGGCGAAGGCAGCUCGCUGGGACGGUACUGACGCUGAGACGCGAAAGCGUGGGGAGCAAACAGG